RNAcentral lists this ribosomal RNA (488 nucleotides) under uncultured bacterium. RNAcentral describes it as "partial 16S ribosomal RNA". It matches the Rfam family "Bacterial small subunit ribosomal RNA", at positions 28 to 507 of the family's 1533-position model. The record is from RNAcentral.
GACGAACGCUGGCGGCGUGCUUAACACAUGCAAGUCGAACGGAAAGGCCCUGCUUUUGUGGGGUGCUCGAGUGGCGAACGGGUGAGUAACACGUGAGUAACCUGCCCUUGACUUUGGGAUAACUUCAGGAAACUGGGGCUAAUACCGGAUAGGAGCUCCUGCUGCAUGGUGGGGGUUGGAAAGUUUCGGCGGUUGGGGAUGGACUCGCGGCUUAUUGGCUUGUUGGUGGGGUAGUGGCUUACCAAGGCUUUGACGGGUAGCCGGCCUGGGUGGGUGAACGGCCGCCCUGGAACGGAGACCCGGCCCAGUGUGCUACGGGAGGCAGCCGAAGCGAAUCUGGCGCGAUGGGGGGGAGACUGUCGCAGCAACGCCGCGUGAGUGAUGAAGGUCUUCGGGUCGUGGAACGCUGUUAUUAGGGAUGAACAACUGUGUCAGUAGCUAUGAACGUCUAGACGGUACCUAAGCAAAAAGACACGGCUCACUACGCG